RNAcentral lists this long non-coding RNA (897 nucleotides) under Anser brachyrhynchus (Pink-footed goose). Its description in RNAcentral is "lncRNA (ENSABRG00000019682.1)". The record is from RNAcentral. Lineage: Eukaryota; Metazoa; Chordata; Aves; Anseriformes; Anatidae.
GGGGAUGCACAGCCAUCGCCCAGUGGCUGUAUCCGGGGCCGGGGUCCGAAAUCUCAGCCCCGAGCGAUGCACAGCUGUUAUUACUCCAUCACCUGAGCAGCUCCAGGUCUAAAAAGCAACAUAUCCCUCCAGCCCUUUGCUGCUGUCCUACAAAGAGGUGCGAGCCUGGAGGAAAACACGAACCACUGACCUUCCUCACUAGAGGCAGGAACAUUGCCCAGUGAAUUGCAGUGUCACUUAAUGCCUUAUCCUGGAUGUAAAUGCUCACGUGGUUUAUGGAGCACAAGGUGGAGCAAUAAAACACAAGUUAUUCAUCUCAAGGCUGUCUUACAUCAAGAGAGGCAGGACUCUACCAAUUGUGAGUUAUAUCAGUGGUGCUUAUCACCACUCUAAAAGGGGGCUGUUGCUCAUCGAACAACGUUAAAACAAAGCAGAAGAGAAAUGUGGAAUACUAAGGUGGAAGCACUGCUGUAACAGUAGCCACAUGGCGUGGUCAGAGAGGAAUGGCAGAGGCAUGGAGCAGAGUCCCGAAGCAGUCCCUUGUCUCAGCUGAGGAGAGGAGCAUCCGCACCAGCCCCUUGCAGGGAGAGACAGCCUGUCCGUGUCCCUUGCUGGAGCAGGACUGUGUGUCCCCACGGGCUCCCCUCUAGCAUAGCCUUUUCCCACCUGAGACGUAAAUCCAGAAGAAAACUUCCUGGUGACCAGAAACAGAAUCACAACCCAAUGAGCUUCUCAAAAGCAUCUACAUAGGAAGAGAGCAUAUUGGGCAGCACUUACUGGAGACUCCUGCUGCUUCCGACUGUGGUGUUUCAGGACAGAGAGCUUCAGAAGGAGGUCGUGGUUCAGAUCCCAUGGCAUUACUGAGGCAAUGGUGAUCUGUUGAACACCAACUCUCAG